UACGUAGGGACCGAGCGUUGUCCGGAUUCAUUGGGCGUAAAGAGCUCGUAGGCGGCUGUUCAAGUCGAACGUGAAAACUCGGAGCUCAACUCCGAGCCUGCGUUCGAUACUGGACGGCUAGAGUCUGGUAGGGGGAUCUGGAAUUCCUGGUGUAGCGGUGGAAUGCGCAGAUAUCAGGAGGAACACCGGUGGCGAAAGCGGCUCUCUGGUCCAAAACUGACGCUGAGGGGCGAAAGCGUGGGGAGCGAACGGG
RNAcentral lists this ribosomal RNA (253 nucleotides) under uncultured bacterium. Its description in RNAcentral is "partial 16S ribosomal RNA". It matches the Rfam family "Bacterial small subunit ribosomal RNA", at positions 524 to 776 of the family's 1533-position model. The record is from RNAcentral.